RNAcentral lists this ribosomal RNA (448 nucleotides) under uncultured prokaryote. Its description in RNAcentral is "bacterial SSU rRNA". It matches the Rfam family "Bacterial small subunit ribosomal RNA", at positions 355 to 796 of the family's 1533-position model. The record is from RNAcentral.
UCGAGAAUCUUCCGCAAUGGGCGAAAGCCUGACGGAGCGACGCCGCGUGGAGGACGAAGGCCUUUGGGUUGUAAACUCCUGUCACGGAUUAUGAAAGCGUUGUAUUGAAUAGGUGCAGCGUUGACGUAAGUCCGAGAGGAAGCACCGGCUAACUCUGUGCCAGCAGCCGCGGUAAUACAGAGGGUGCAAACGUUGUUCGGAAUCACUGGGCAUAAAGCGCACGUAGGCGGCCAAGUCAGUCGGUAGUGAAAGCCCACGGCUCACCCGUGGAGGGUCUUCCGAUACUUCUUGGCUAGAGGACGGUAGGGGAAAGCAGAACUCCUGGUGGAGCGGUGAAAUGCGUAGAUAUCAGGAGGAAUACCGGAGGCGAAGGCGGCUUUCUGGUCCGUUUCUGACGCUGAGGUGCGAAAGCUAGGGUAGCGAACGGGAUUAGAUACCCCUGUAGUCC